UCCCCACUUGCUGUGAGGCAGUCUCGCAUGAUUUGCAACAUACGAUAGGGGUUGCGCUCGUUACCGCACUUAAGCGGACAUCUCACGACACGAGCUGACGACAACCAUGCAGCACCUGUGUACCACCCUCGUAGGCGGCUCCUGUUUCCAGGAGCUUGCAGGUACAUGUCAAGCCCAGGUAAGGUUCUUCGGUUUGUAUCGAAUUAAACCACAUGAUCCACUGGUUGUGCGCUCCCCCGUCAAUUCCUUUGAGUUUUAACCUUGCGGUCGUACUCCCCAGGCGGGAUACUUAACGUGUUAACUUGCGUCACCUCAUCCACUCAACCUCGCUAAGCGAGACUGAGCGGAUGCGGCAACUAGUAUCCAUAGUUUACGGCUAGGACUAC
RNAcentral lists this unclassified non-coding RNA (386 nucleotides) under uncultured bacterium. RNAcentral's name for it is "contains 16S-23S intergenic spacer region". The record is from RNAcentral.